This 4821-nucleotide long non-coding RNA is filed under the name Bemisia tabaci. RNAcentral's name for it is "lncRNA ENSSSA2NGG009955". Lineage: Eukaryota; Metazoa; Arthropoda; Insecta; Hemiptera; Aleyrodidae. The record is from RNAcentral.
CAGUGGCGUGCUUUGCGAUAAAUCGAUUGAUCUGUCAUUUAAACCUAUGUAAAAGGAUCGAUAAACAGGGUGUUCACAGCGAACACCUUAAUAAUCGAUUCUUUACCACGGAUUCAAAUGGGGAAAUAUCGAUAAUCGAUCAUUCACGCCACGCCACUGCACUGGUAUAAAAAUCCCUUACUUAAUAAGUACAUUGAGGAUUUAGAUGAAUUAUACGCUCCCAAGAAUAUAUAAAGUAGUUACAUUCCUUAGUAGUUUCCAACAACAACAACAACAACAACAACAAAAGGUUCCGCUGUUGAGGUUAUGUACUUUUUCAAACAAAACUUCUUGGAGAUGCCAUGGCAUGAAAAAUGAUCAAAACGAUUGUCGUGUCACUAUGGAAAUUUCGGAAUCUCUACUAAAAUGAAAACCCAGGUAGCGUGAUGUUAAUAGUUUUACCCAUGAUUUUUAAUAGUUUUACCCGUGAAUAUAGUCUUUCGAAUAUUAUGAGUAUGUUCUUGCUGGUGUGCUACCUACGCUAAAUCUAACCUAAAAUGAGAAGAAUCUUCAUCAUGAGUAAGGUGACGUAAUACGGCGUUCAAUGCAAAGUGGCAUGAGCAGCGAUGCCUCGAUUUAGUAUUAAAUGGACGCGUCAAAAAUCUUCAACGUUUUUAUGAUACUUCUCGCAGCAAACGUGAAAUUUCCUAGGACCGCCGGGCAGAAUUUGCAGAUCUCCCAAGCAGAGCGCGCGGAGCGAAAAUUUCGAGUGAAGCGCCAGGUCCCAAACCAGUACAAUUUCAACAGCAACUCGACGCAAAACCAACUACCAAAUCUAAACAGGGUGUAUUUCAGCAACAUUCCGAUAGAGAGCGCUGUCGCGCAAAUGAAACAACGAAUUCCAAGCCGUUACUUCGCCCACACUAAUUCUUCACGAAACCAGCCACUAGACCGGUUCACGGUCAACUUACCGAUGGAUAGGAUUGUCGCAGAGAUGAAACAACAAUCCACAAACCAGUUCCAGUUACCGGACCCGGUUUCCAGGGAUUCACCGAUAGAUAGCGCUGUCGCACAGAUGAACGAACAGAUCGCGAACCCAUACAUCUUGUACCCUAACGCAACUUUUAACCAGUUUCCAGAUUUGGGCGGCGAGUAUUUUACAAAUUCCCCGAUGGAUGGCGCGGUUUCACAGGAUUUCCCGAUAUUCCAACCGGGAAAACCGGGUGCUGGCAACGUCAAGGACACGGUCACUGAUAACAGGAGCACGAUUUUCAACGUCCUCAUCUUGAGCAACUACCUGAGCUUAUCACCAUUCAGGGACGACCUCGGGGAUUCUGGGCUCGACGGGCGCGCGGUGUCCAAAUUCAAUUUUUCAGGGAAUGUCAAGGACUCGGCGGGACCCCGACUGGUCCCCAGGGUCAAAAACUCGACGAUAGUUUUCUUGGACGACGCCCGGCUCCCGAGCUACACGGGGAACGUGACGGACAGGAAUCGAGAGGAGAGCCGAAAAAAGUUCAGCUUCGAAGAUGUGAAUCUUGACAUGCGGAACCUGAAAGACCUGGUCAAUUUCAGGAGGAAACCGGUCCCUUUGGAGAUCUGUAGGGGUGGAGGUCUGCCGCGCGAUGUGGAAGACGCAUCGCAAUCGAAAGCGACGAUGGAUUUACCUGCAGUAUUCUCCAUUAGCUUGCUGUCCCUUCCAAAUGACACCUCCAAUCCGUCUUCGCUCCAGGUUCUCAAGACCGACCAGCGUUGGACCCGGGGCGAUACCCCGAGAUCACGCAGUUCCACGGCGACAACUCGUCUCUCAUCAUGAUCCGGCUCGACGAGGACAAGGACAAACGGCUACGGUUCGGCGGGGGCCUCGACCAGCCGGGGAUGAGGGGUCGCGGGCCAGUCCCUCCGAGGAAAUUCCGCAAAGAGAAGGGAUACUCCCUUCCGGGAAGGCGGGAGUCCGACGAGGAGCGGAACAUCACGGAGGACUUCCGGGAGAUGGAGAUGCACCUCGCGCAGAUCUCGAAACUCAUGGCGCGGAUAGAGAAGAAGAAAAAGCAAGCGGUCAGUAAUCGCUCGAUCCCACCGUGGGUGAAGAGCAGUAGGUGAAAUGGAGAUGUUGCAUGAGUGAAGAAUUUGCGAUUUGACUGUUGAUUCUAAUGUAAAAGUUCGCGAGAAACACGAUGAUGCCACUGGUUUUCUCUGAAAUCAUCUCCCAAGCUCAAAAAAAGCUCUCAAAGUGAGGCUAAAAUGGAGGGGAUAUCCCGCCUUACCCUGAGAGUCCACCUCUACAUAAAAAAAAACUCUCCAAAUACAUUGACAGGGCUGCCACUUCAUUCGGGGACUCCAAAACUGAAAACACGGCAACCCUGCUAAUGUAUUUGCCCCCUAUCUUUGCAUAAAGAGUUCGUUUUGAUGUAGAGGUGGACUCUCAGGAUAGCGUGGGAUAUACCCUCCAUUUUGGCCUCAACUUGAGAGCUUUUUUUGAGCUUGGGAGUUGAUUUCAGAGAAAACCAGUGGCACCAUCGUGUUUCUCGCGAAGUUUUACAUAAGAAUCAACAGUCAAAUCGCAAAUUCCUCACACAUGCAACAUCUCAAUUUCUGCGAAGUGGCUCAUUGGAGGAUCCAGCAAAUUGGCAACACUGUUUUUAUCCAUUUAAACCUAUGGAAAUGUAUCGAUUUUUGGAGGGGUUAGGUGCUCCAACAAGAAUCGAUAAUUUAACAUAGGUUUAAAGGAGGGAAUCCGGUGUUGCCAAAUGGGUGGAUCCGCCUCUGGUGGUGCUCUGUGUGCAGCAAUGUAGUUUUAGAUGAAACAGCGAGGAGAAAAAAUCUUCGGUUGCGCGGACCUUUCGGUUCAUGAGGAACACCGAUGUUUUCAGUCCGGACAACCAAAGUUCCCAGUCAUGAAAACUGAAUUUCUGUUCACACGACCGGAUGAGUAUUCGGUAAAAAUUACGAGUCUUGGUAUGGCUUGUGUCCACGCCAAAUGAGGGGCUUGGAGGACAAGGCGCAUAAAAGCAGUUUUUGAAAAAAAUAUGGAUAUGAAUGAUUUCAAAUAAAUCUAGUUUUAAUGCAUAUUCUGUGAAAAAUUUGCUCCCGAAUUCCAAUUUUUAAGUAUCAAAAAGUCAGUUUGAACUAUCUUUCUAUCAUGAGGAUCCGUGUAAUUUCGAAACUUCAAACACGUAUUUCUCGAAAUGGCAGAAGCUGCAUGCACUCAUGCGUCCUGUCCUCCAAGCCCCAUAAAUAAGUUUACGCACAUUUAGACUGCGACAGAGGAUCGUCUAACGUCACUUUCGCAUGUAAAUGAAAUGGAAGAAUCAAAAUGGCGGAUCAUCUGUCGCAGUUAAAAGAGCGUUCAAAACUAAUUUGGCGUGCGGACUCGAGCAAAAACGUUGGUCACCAGCGGGCCGAUUAUUGAAACUGAUAGACAAAGCUAUAGACAAAGACGACAAAAGAGACAUGGAGGGAUCCUAUUGGUGGAAGCGGGUGGUUGAUAUAGACAAAGGAGGUAGAUAAUAGACUAACUAACGGCAACUCACGAGAGACCCUUUCGUUAGUCCAUCAUUUACCCCCUUAGUCUGUAAGAACCACCCGAACUAACCGAUAGGAUCGAUCCAUAUUAUUAUGUCCUCUUUGUCUAUCAAUUUCAACAAUCGGGCCGCAGCGGGCCGAUUAUUGAAACUGAUAGACAAAGCUAUAGACAAAGACGAUAAAAGAGACAUGGAGGGAUCCUAUUGGUGGAAGCGGGUGGUUGAUAUAGACAAAGGAGGUAGAUAAUAGACUAACUAACGGCAACUCACGAGAGACCCUUUCGUUAGUCCAUCAUUUACCCCCUUAGUCUGUAAGAACCACCCGAACUAACCGAUAGGAUCGAUCCAUAUUUAUUAUGUCCUCUUUGUCUAUCGCUUUGUCUAUCAAUUUCAACAAUCGGGCCGCAGCGGGCCGAUUAUUGAAACUGAUAGACAAAGCUAUAGACAAAGACGACAAAAGGGAUUUGGAGGGAUCCUAUUGGUGGAAGCAGGUGGUGGCAAUGGACAUAGGAGGUAUGUAAUGGACUAACUAACGGCAACCCACUAAAGACCCGACAGUUAGUCCAUCACUUUCUUCCUUAGUCUAUGAGAACCAACCAUGUCAACCCAUAAGAUCGCUCCGUACUCCCUAUGUCUUCUUUGUCUAUUGCUUUGUCCAUCAGUUUCAAUAAUCGCCCGCUGGACCGAUGGCUUCGAUGUUUCAUAAGAACAGAAGUUGUUGUUCUUCGUGCAUGUAAACUUACAAUUGUCAUCGUACGAUUUUAUUUUUUGCUUUAUAUCUACUCGCAAUAUCCUCUCCCGUAGGUGCGAAAUAAAAUAAGUGCGGUGCGCUUUUCCGCUUGUUUAACUGUAAAACUAUGACGAUUAAGAAAUGAAAGGCUUGAAGUCGGUUUCGGUAUUUUUCUUCAGUGAAAAUGUUCUACUAAGAACCUUCUAAACCUCAUUUGUAGAUAAUAAAUAGUUAAAAUUACGUUGUUCCACCAUUAUGAGGACAACGAUUAUUGUUAACAUUGAAGAUACAGUAAUAAAAAUAUUUUAAUUUUUAAACAACGAAAUUCCACUUGUACUCUUCAAUUAAUAAUUUUAUAGGACAGGGUGUACAGGAUGUCUACUAAAAUUUUAUUUUGGAUUAUCCUGAUGUUUGAUCUGAAAUUCCCUGACUUUUGCGUGAACAAAUUGAUACGCAUAUGAUUUAAGAAAUAAAAUAUUCGAUGGAUGACUAAAAUGUUUGAAAAAUGCUUGAAGCACUCAGAACAUCUGGAUCCAUGACCGAUUUUCCUAAUAUGUUCGUGAUCUUUCGUAAUGAAAUCAAAUUUCCUGA